GUGGGGAAUAUUGCGCAAUGGGCGAAAGCCUGACGCAGCGACGCCGCGUGGAGGAUGAAGGUCUUAGGAUUGUAAACUCCUGUCAGAUGGGAAGAAAAGUUUAUGUCUAAUAAAUGUAAAAUAUGACGGUACCAUCAGAGGAAGCACCGGCUAACUUCGUGCCAGCAGCCGCGGUAAUACGAAGGGUGCAAACGUUAUUCGGAAUCACUGGGCGUAAAGGGUGCGUAGAUGGUGUGUUAAGUUUGUUGUUAAAGGCUCUGGCCUAACCGGAGUAUUGCAAUGAAAACUGGCACGCUAGAGGGUGAGAGAGAGAAGUGGAAUUCCCGGAGUAGCGGUAAAAUGCGUGGAUCUCGGGAGGAACACCAAUGGCGAAGGCAGCUUCUUGGCUCAUUCCUGACAUUGAGGCACGAAAGCGUGGGGAGCAAACAGGAUUAGAUACCCUUGUAGUCC
This 450-nucleotide ribosomal RNA is filed under the name uncultured bacterium. Its description in RNAcentral is "bacterial SSU rRNA". It matches the Rfam family "Bacterial small subunit ribosomal RNA", at positions 354 to 796 of the family's 1533-position model. The record is from RNAcentral.